GAUGAACGCUGGCGGCGUGCCUAAUACAUGCAAGUCGAACGAACAGAUAAGGAGCUUUCCUCCUUUACUUUAGCGGGGGGCGGGUGUGUAAAAUGUGGGUAACCCUCCUUUAAGGCGGGGAUAAACUCGUGAAACCGGUGGUAAAUCCCGCUUAACUUCGGAACCGCAUGGUGGGAUAGUGAAAGACGGCUUUGCUACCGAUUUUAGAUGGACCCGCACCGUAUUAGCUAGUUGGUAAGGUAACGGCUUACCAAGGCGACGAUACGUAGGCGACCUGAGAGGGUGAUCGGCCACACUGGAACUGAGACACGGUCCAGACUCCUACGGGAGGCAGCAGUAGGGAAUCUUGCACAAUGGGCGCAAGCCUGACGGAGCAACGCCGCGUGAAUGAAGAAGGUCUUCGGAUCGUAAAGCACUGUUAUUGGGGAAGAACGUACGUGUAAGAAACUGUGCACUUAUUGACGGUACCUGAUCAGGAAGCCACGGCUAACUCCGUG
This 497-nucleotide ribosomal RNA is filed under the name uncultured bacterium. Its description in RNAcentral is "partial 16S ribosomal RNA". It matches the Rfam family "Bacterial small subunit ribosomal RNA", at positions 28 to 507 of the family's 1533-position model. The record is from RNAcentral.